GACGAACCGUGCGAACGUUGUUCGGAAUCACUGGGCUUAAAGGGCGCGUAGGCGGGCCGGACGGUCCGGGGUGAAAUCCCCCCGCUCAACGGGGGAACGGCCCCGGACACCGCCGGCCUCGAGGGGGGUAGGGGCGAGCGGAACGCUGGGUGGAGCGGUGAAAUGCGUUGAUAUCCAGCGGAACUCCGGUGGCGAAGGCGGCUCGCUGGGCCCUCUCUGACGCUGAGGCGCGAAAGCCAGGGGAGCGAACGGG
This 253-nucleotide ribosomal RNA is filed under the name uncultured bacterium. RNAcentral describes it as "partial 16S ribosomal RNA". It matches the Rfam family "Bacterial small subunit ribosomal RNA", at positions 524 to 776 of the family's 1533-position model. The record is from RNAcentral.